This 1085-nucleotide long non-coding RNA is filed under the name Calidris pygmaea (Spoon-billed sandpiper). Its description in RNAcentral is "lncRNA (ENSCPGG00000005427.1)". The record is from RNAcentral. Lineage: Eukaryota; Metazoa; Chordata; Aves; Charadriiformes; Scolopacidae.
ACUGCGUUAUUGGCUCGUUCAUGUGACAGCCCUGACAGGUCGGAAGAGAAAUAGCUGCAGAAACUGAAAUCUCCCAGAGAAUGUGGCAGGAUUUUUUUUUCCUUUAAUGCUUGAAUGUCACACGAAGUAGCAUUUUAUUCAAGACGUAUUCUUUUCCAUCUUUCACAGGCUAAUCCUGCGCAGAGCUAAAUAUCAGUGCAGUCAGAACUGAGGCAGGCGAAUAAGAAGGUCAGGGUUUCACGGAGCUGAGCUCUGGAACCUUCAGGGGCUGAUGUUGUUUCCCUGCCCUGUGUCUUUCCUGACCCGCAGUUGUGUGAGUUGGCACUUGCUCCCCUUUCCUUAACAGCCAGGUAAUGCUAUUAAUUAAUGAAGAGCUUCUUGGAAAAAUCCGAGCAGAUAGAAGCAGUGCUGGACUAACAGCUUUUUAGUGCCUCGGUGGUUCAUUCUUUUUUAGUAUGUUUUUUCUGUGAGGACAUAGUGAUGUCCAGCCCAGCCGUUAGGACAUGUUGGUAAUUAUCCUCACACCAUUCUCCCUCUUAGAUGCCGUUUUUAUAUCUUUACAAUCAUUACAUUCCAGUGAGAUACCUAGAAAACUCAUAUUUAGUGCUAUAUCGCUGCUGCGAUCCCGUCCCUCUCCUCUCUGCUCCAGUCAAUGUGUAUUCCAGCUACGUUCUUAGCCUUCUCCCAGGAAACACAAGACUUCAAAGCCAGGAGACUUGUGAAAGACUUCAGAAAUGCAGAAAUGGCACCCAGACAAACACACCUUUUUGGUGUUGGGCUCUGGGGAAGCGAACUGGGGAGGGAACAUUGUGGAAAGGGUGUGGAGAAAGAUGCCUUUCACAAACUGGUUUGAAGGAGCUUGUCUCACCUAAAAGUGAAUUCAUGUGUUAUCUGUGAGAAGGAUUUCAUUUGAAAGUCCAGCUUUGUGGUUAUUUGAAAAACAAUGUUCACCGAAUUUAUAAAUUAAGUGUGUGAAAAUGACAGAUUAAGAAGCAUCUUUGAGGAUGCUGUUUCUUUUCUAAGUGAGACUAUUUUUAAGCAUAUGGGAAUUUGUAUAAUAAAGACAGUGGAAUUUCUUUAAUCCA